Non-coding RNA from Lactuca sativa (garden lettuce), 1039 nucleotides. Lineage: Eukaryota; Viridiplantae; Streptophyta; Magnoliopsida; Asterales; Asteraceae. The record is from RefSeq and is a predicted model, not a curated record.
AAAGGCUUAAUGGGUGAGUACGUUGGGCGUACAAGCUCAUACGCGCACCGUACAAGCCAUGCAGCGUGUACGCUUAGCGUACAGUUGAGUACACCCCACGUACUCAUGCAAUUGGGCUUGGCGUUUUUUGGGCCUCGGUUCGGGCCAUUUUCUUCGACUUUGUUAUUUUGGGCUUUUGGGCCUUUUGGGCCAGCUGGAAUUAAGCUUUUGGAUUAAGGAAUUUUAGUGGUCCUGGCCCAUUGGGCGGUUUGUGACCAAUUUGGAAAAUUGGGCCAUAAGUGGGCCUUUGUGGAUCUUUUAGUUUUGGGCCUUAUUAGUUUAUGGUUUUGGGCCGUAGUUUUGGAUCACGCUAGGCCAGGGGUAAAAAGGUCAUUGCACCCCAAGUAUGGAUUAUUGAUUAUAGUUUGGAACCCAAGUAUUGAUUGGGUGUUAUUUUGUACUGAUAGCUCGGGGAGUCGUCAGGGAAACAGCUAGGGAUUUCUUUCUGUGAGAUUCAGCAUUUGAGGUGAGUUUCCUCACUAGGUUUAGCGGGUCAAAGGCACCACUAACGGCCCUUCUUGUUUAUGUUAGGAUGCUAAGAGUCUGCAUGACCCUUGCAUGUGUUAUGUACUGACGUGUAUACCGUGCGGGGCUCAAUGUCGGGUGAGGCCCGAGGACUGGAACAUAUGCUAGUGUUAUGAUCAUUAGAUGUGUUAACAUGAUUAUAUGAUAUUGACUUUAUGUGUAUAGCAGACGAGGCCCAGUAACAGGCGAGGCCUGAGAAUAACAUAUCUAUAAACCGAUCGGGGAACGAUGUCGGGUGUGGCCCGAUGUCGUGCGGGGGCCUAGUACUUCUGUGGCAAAGGGAAGAGAACGGAUUGAAUGCAUCGCACACACGAUUGGGAUUCCGCAUAUCAUAUUUUACUCUGAUUUUUAUGACAUUUGAUACAUUGGUUAUUUUGAGAUGUAUGGAUAAUAUUUGGAAAUACUAUUUUACCUACUUUAAAAAUGAAAUUUUUGGGACCAUAUUUUGGAAUGUUACAUUUUGAUUUCCUUUUAA